CGGGGUUGGGAGUGGCGCACGGCUGAGGAACACGUGGGUGACCUGCCCUGGUGUGGGGGACAACGUACCGAAAGGUGCGCUAAUCCCGCAUACGCUCCUACGGGAGGAAAGCAGCGAUGCGCACCAGGAGGGGCCUGCGGCCCAUCAGGUGGUUGGUGAGGUAACGGCUCACCAAGCCGAUGACGGGUCCCUGGUCUGAGAGGACGACCAGGCAGACUGGGACUGAGACACGGCCCAGACUCCUACGGGAGGCAGCAGCAAGGGAUUUUCCGCAAUGGGCGCAAGCCUGACGGAGCAACGCCGCGUGCCGGAGGACGGCCUUCGGGUUGUAAACGGCUUUUAUCGGGGAAGAAACGGACGGUACCCGAGGAAUAAGCCCCGGCUAACUCCGUGCCAGCAGCCGCGGUAAUACGGAGGGGGCAAGCGUUGUCCGGACUUACUGGGCGUAAAGCGUGCGUAGGCGGCAGGGUGCGUCGGUGCUGAAAGCGCCCCGCUUAACGGGGCGAGGGGUACCGAUACGACCCCGCUCGAGGCAGUCAGAGGUUGGUAGAAUUCCGGGUGUAGUUGUGAAAUGCGUAGAUACCCGGAGGAAUGCCGGUGGCGAAAGCGACCAACUGGGGCUGGCCUGACGCUUAGGCACGACAGCGUGGGGAGCGAACCGGAUUAGAUACCCGGGUAGUCCACGCC
Molecule: ribosomal RNA, 687 nt
Filed under: uncultured organism
Description: bacterial SSU rRNA
Rfam family: Bacterial small subunit ribosomal RNA
Source: RNAcentral